CUUGCUCGUUGGCUCCGAGACCGUCCACUUCCUGGUCGCCUCGCUUCCUUUCCCCGCUGCCACCUGCGCAGCUUCCUGCAUUGUUGUCCUGGGCUGACGCUAAUGACGCGCGCCAUUCCCCUGAGCUGUCUGGCUGUCCUCCUCCCGCUGCUGCACAGCGCAAGCUCUCCUCCGCUCUCGCUCAGGUGAUCAAACACCACCUGAUCGUUGCUGAGAGCCAAAGGUGGUGGUCCUGGUGUCCUGGGUGGUGGCUUCCCCUCUUUUUUUGGUGUGCUGUGCGUCCCCUGGUCCUGGCUUUCCCUUCACUAAAGUGUGUGUGUGCGUGUGGCUGUCACGUGUGAUUGGGGUGACCUUAAUUUUGUUGUAUCCCUCACACUCUUGUCGACCCAUCUCCCUGCCGGUAAGCCUCAGUACUGAAAGGUCCCCCUUUCCUUACAUCCCUGUGUGGACGGUGUGUCUAGUGUAUUUUAGCGACGUAUUUUGUAAUAAAGAAUAGAUUUUUCUAAACUUGGAAACAUGUCUCCUGCCUCACUGUAGAGCGAACCUGAGUGCCUUAUUUGGGGUUUUGUAGAUCUAACUAUCUCCUUGGGCGAAACUCCCAGGGUGGUGUUGUCUGGCUUGUCCUGGUUGACUAAUUAAUAUAAUAUUCACCACUAACUUGGUAACCUAAACCUCCCUCCAUCUCUCCUGUUGCCAAACGUAUAACGAAAAUGACGUUGGGGCGAUCCCUCCUGGACCCCGUAGAGAUUGCAUUGGAGUGCCUGCAUUUAGAAAAAAAAGCCUUUUACAUCAAAGUCUAUGAGAGUGAUCGGGGCGAUUUCCAGCCAGACUGAUAUCACCGGAAAGGAUCGGAACGUGAUUUCACACUGCGGCUGAUUGGAUAUUCAGAGGCAGGAAGAGCUGUUUCAAGUGAAAAUUAUCAAAAUAAUUGAUAUAUUGUGUGUAUGACAUACAUUCACAUAAUCAUAAUCAUUUAUUAUCAUCGUCUUUCUUUUCUUUUGUGGCUCAAGGAGGGGCAGCACCCUAUUGCCCUCUAUUGGCCAGCCGCCCCUGGUCAGGACAGAGCUGUUGUUAUCUGGGAAUAAGGAUGUGGUAGUUAGGACUGGGUUCCAAAUCCAACUAAGGGGAGGAAAUGGAACCCAAGAUCGGCAGUUCAGGAGGCAGAGGCAGCUCUUAGACAUGCAGAGAUUGUAGGUAAUGUUCAGGGAGGCCUGGGGCUUGGCUCAGGCAAACCGGUAUGCAAUAAAGCAGGUCCCAAAGAUAAAAGAAAGCUGGUUGUGGAACAGAUACAUAGACAGGGGGAGAUAUUAAGGGGUGAAAAGAUAGUGGCCCAGGCUAAGCAGGGACAGUGGUUGAAUUGGGAAAAUGUAGAGAAGAGGAAGCUUAGUUGAAAGGACCUGUGGAAUAUGGAGGAGAAUCGUAUUAGAUUCCUGGUAGGGGCUACAUACGAUGUGUUACCAACCCCCAGAACCUAAAACUGUGGGUAAAUGGGGACCAUCGUGCCCAUUGUGUUCAGGUACCGCAACCUUAAAGUAUAUUUAGUCAGGCUGUAAAGUUAGCUUGUCACAAGGCUGAUAUACAUGCCGACAUAACCAGGUGUUGAAAAGUUUAGCUGCAGGCAUCGAAGGUAAACGAAGACAGGCAAAUUCAGAAGGUUUUAAAAAUAGAAGUUUAGCAAUUCAGUUUGUCCAUGGGGGGGAGAAAUACAGAAGUGAUAAGUUAGUAAGGAAGCAAGGGUGUGGCCACCUAGAAGGUGCUUGUGAUUGGGAAAUGCAAGUAUGUCAGGUAACAAGUCUGACCUUUAGUUAACACUCACUUAUUAGACAUGAUCAAUAUAUCUUUAUUAACAGGCUAUGUACCACAGUCUUUUAAGGUAGCUGUAAUUAAACUUAUUUUAAAAAAGCCCACCCUGGAUCCAGAGGUGUUAGCCAACUAUAGACCAAUAUCUAAUCUUCCCUUUCUUUCAAAGAUCCUUGAGAAAGUAGUCGCAGACCAGCUGUGUGAUUUUCUCCAUGAUAAUAAUUUAUUUGAGGAAUUUCAGUCAGGAUUUAGAGUGCAUCAUAGCACUGAGACAGCACUAGUUAAAAUUACAAAUGAUCUUUUGAUUGCUUCAGACAAAGGACUCAUCUCUGUACUUGUUUUACUAGAUCUUAGUGCGACAUUUGACACAAUUGACCAUCAAAUUCUGCUGCAGAGACUGGAACAUUUAAUUGGCCUAAAAGUUUCUGCACUAAGCUUUUUUAAAUCUUAUUUAUCUGAUCGAUUUCAGUUUGUUAAUGUUCACGAUAAAUCAUCCUUACGUACUAAAGUUUGUUUUGGAGUUCCACAAGGUUCUGUGCUCGGACCAAUCCUAUUCACUCUAUAUAUGCUUCCUUUAGGUAACAUCAUUAGAAAUCACUCUGUAAAUUUCCAUUGUUAUGCGGAUGAUACACAAUUGUAUUCAUCGAUGAAGCCAGAAGAAACUAAUGCAUUAACUAAACUUCAUAAUUGCCUUAAAGACAUAAAAACCUGGAUGAGCACCAAUUUCCUUAUGUUAAAUUCAGACAAAACUGAAGUUAUUGUUCUUGGCCCCAAACAACUCAGGGACUCUUUAUCUGACGACAUAGUUUCUCUAGAUGGCAUUGCUCUGGCCUCUAGCACUACUGUAAGAAACCUCGAGUAAUAUUUGACCAAGAUUUGUCUUUUAAUUCUUACUUAAAAGAAAUCUCACGGACUGCAUUUUUUCAUCUGCGUAAUAUUGCGAAAAGUAGGCCCAUCCUGACCCGGGCCUAGGGUCAGGCUUGCUUUGUACCAGCCCCUAGUUAGGCUGACUUAGGCCUAGUCUACCGGGGGACCUCCUAUAAUACACCAGGCACCUUCUCUCCUUCUCUCUCUCUCUCUCUCUCUCUCUCUCUCUCUCUCUCUCUCUCUCUCUCUCUCUCUCUCUCAUGUCCUGUUACUGCAUCUUGCUAACUCGGCCGUACUGCAUGUCACUAACUUGGCUUCUUCUCCGGAGCCUUUGAGCUCCACUGUCUCGCAGGUUAACUCGUAUUGCAGCGGUGCCUGGAUAGUGUGACGUGUGUGGUUGUACUGCCGCCGUGGUCCUGCUAGAUGCCUCCUGCUGCUGCUAUCAUUAGUCAUACUUCUACUGUUAUUAUACACAUAUGAUUAUUGCCACAUAUGUAUACUAUCAGAUGUUAUAUACUUUCAACAUAUUGUACCAAAAUGUAAUGUAAUAUAAAUGUGUAAAUGUAAUAUUAAUUAUAUUAUUACUUUCAUUAUUGCUGUUGUAAGCUACUGUCAUUACCAUCUGUCCUGCAUCUCUCUCUGUCUCUCUCUCUGUCUCACUGUGUCAUACAGAUUACUGUUAAUUUAUUAUGCUGAUCUGUUCUGUACAACAUCUAUUGCACGUCUGUCCGUCCUGGAAGAGGGAUCCCUCCUCAGUUGUUCUUCCUAAGGUUUCUACCGUUUUUUCCCCGUUAAAGGGUUUUUUUGGGGGAGUUUUUCCUUAUCCGCUGUGAGGGUCCUAAGGACAGAGGGAUGUCGUAUGCUGUAAAGCCCUGUGAGGCAAAUUGUGAUUUGUGAUAUUGGGCUUU
Molecule: long non-coding RNA, 3575 nt
Organism: Epinephelus moara (kelp grouper)
Lineage: Eukaryota; Metazoa; Chordata; Actinopteri; Perciformes; Serranidae
Exons: 3
Source: RefSeq, a predicted model, not a curated record